GGAUUCCCCUAGUAGCGGCGAGCGAAGCGGGAAGAGCUCAAAUUUGUAAUCUGGCACCUUCGGUGUCCGAGUUGUAAUCUCGAGAAGUGUUUUCCGCGCUAGACCGCAUGUAAGUCUGUUGGAAUACAGCGUCAUAGGUGGUGACAACCCCGUACGUAAUGCGGAUGCCUAGUGCUUUGUGAUACACUUUCGAAGAGUCGAGUUGUUUGGGAAUGCAGCUCAAAUUGGGUGGUAAAUUCCAUCUAAAGCUAAAUAUUGGCGAGAGACCGAUAGCGAACAAGUACCGUGAGGGAAAGAUGAAAAGCACUUUGGAAAGAGAGUUAAAAGUACGUGAAAUUGUUGAAAGGGAAACGCUUGAAGUCAGACUUGCGUAUUGGAGUUCAGCCGCAAGGUGUAUUCUUCAGUUUGCAGGCCAGCAUCAGUUUUCGGGGGUACAAAAGGGUAAGGGGAAGGUGGCAGCUUCGGCUGUGUUAUAGCCUCUUACUGGAUGUAUCCUUGGGGACUGAGGACUGCAGCGCACUUUUUGCAAGUCCCUCGGGACUUUCUGCGCUUAGGAUGCUGGUGGAAUGGCUUUAAACGACCCGUCUUGAAACACGGACCAAGGAGUCUAACAUGCUUGCGAGUAUUUGGGUGUCAAAACCCGGAUGCGUAAUGAAAGUGAAUGGAGGUGGGAACCGCAAGGUGCACCAUCGACCGAUCCGGAAUUUUCUAUGAUGGAUUUGAGUAAGAGCACG
This 734-nucleotide ribosomal RNA is filed under the name Colacogloea effusa. Its description in RNAcentral is "partial large subunit ribosomal RNA". It matches the Rfam family "Eukaryotic large subunit ribosomal RNA", at positions 72 to 804 of the family's 3401-position model. The record is from RNAcentral. Lineage: Eukaryota; Fungi; Basidiomycota; Microbotryomycetes; Colacogloeaceae.